Haliotis rubra (blacklip abalone) is the source of this 398-nucleotide long non-coding RNA. RefSeq lists it as uncharacterized. Lineage: Eukaryota; Metazoa; Mollusca; Gastropoda; Lepetellida; Haliotidae. The record is from RefSeq and is a predicted model, not a curated record. The transcript is spliced from 4 exons.
GGCAGUUUGCGUCACCUUGGAAACCAAAGAUGCACCAGUAUGCACGGUUGUGGAAGUAGCUGAAGCAUUUGAAUCAGGACUUACAUUGACCAGCCUCCCUGUGGUAUCAAGUGCGUUUGUACCAUCAACAACAGUACAGCAGCCAUCCAUCAAUUGCUACAUCAGAGCUUGCCCUAGUACCCUCCACAUCACAGCCAUCAACAGAGCAGGCAGCUGAACAACCUGAUAGUGAAAGGCCCCAAACAACUGUAAAUGCAACUGAAAUCCAUUCAAGGACUAAAGUUACACACAAGUCAAGAAAAUCUGAAAGGGAAGCUCAGCCAGGCGUGACUGCCAUCCUUGCUAGUGAAAAGGAAAGGACUGGAAUACUGAAGGUCCUCCUUGAAGUACAAAGAAAA